GCUGGCUGUGCGUGGGAAUACUCUUUGUAGCCAAACCAGUUUGUGCUGCUUCACGUGUUUGUGACACUACAGCUUCCCGGUUUUCACUUCAGCUCCCAGAUCCAUCAGACUGGAACCAGAACACCAGACAGCAGCAAUGUCCGGGUGGUCUCUAGUCACAGCCAAUGCACCAGAUGAACUCACUCCCUUCAGAGGAGUUUGGCAGAAAAAUAAUUAAACCAGCCUUAAAAAGUGAGUGGUACCAGCACGCUUUCAAAUGGAACCACAUUUGGUGACAAGGUUGAUGUCAUUGUGUGGCAUGGAUUGUAUACUCAUCUGUGGCCUGGAUUCUGCAAAGGUGAAGUGGCAGAAUUUUGGGAGAGAAAAAUGCCGAAGUAUGAAGACACAAAAAAAUG
Haemorhous mexicanus (house finch) is the source of this 395-nucleotide long non-coding RNA. RefSeq lists it as uncharacterized. The transcript is spliced from 2 exons. The record is from RefSeq and is a predicted model, not a curated record. NCBI's taxonomy places the organism in Eukaryota, Metazoa, Chordata, Aves, Passeriformes, Fringillidae.